This 492-nucleotide ribosomal RNA is filed under the name uncultured bacterium. RNAcentral's name for it is "partial 16S ribosomal RNA". It matches the Rfam family "Bacterial small subunit ribosomal RNA", at positions 29 to 507 of the family's 1533-position model. The record is from RNAcentral.
AGUGAACGCUGGCGGUAGGCCUAACACAUGCAAGUCGAACGGCAGCACAGUAAGAGCUUGCUCUUACGGGUGGCGAGUGGCGGACGAGUGAGGAAUACAUCGGAAUCUACUUUUUCGUGGGGGAUAACGUAGGGUAACUUACGCUAAUACCGCAUACGACCUACGGGUGAAAGCAGGGGAUCUUCGGACCUUGCGCGAUUGAAUGAGCCGAUGUCGGAUUAGCUAGUUGGCGGGGUAAAGGCCCACCAAGGCGACGAUCCGUAGCUAGUCUGAGAGGAUGAUCAGCCACACUGGAACUGAGACACGGUCCAGACUCCUACGGGAGGCAGCAGUGGGGAAUAUUGGACAAUGGGCGCAAGCCUGAUCCAGCCAUACCGCGUGGGUGAAGAAGGCCUUCGGGUUGUAAAGCCCUUUUGUUGGGAAAGAAAAGCAGCAGGUUAAUACCCCGCUGUUCUGACGGUACCCAAAGAAUAAGCACCGGCUAACUUCGUG